GAUACCGCCCUAGUUCUAACCAUAAACGAUGCCAACCAGCGAUCCGCCUGGGUUCCUCAAAUGACUCGGCGGGCAGCUUCCGGGAAACCAAAGUGUUUGGGUUCCGGGGGAAGUAUGGUUGCAAAGCUGAAACUUAAAGGAAUUGACGGAAGGGCACCACCAGGAGUGGAGCCUGCGGCUUAAUUUGACUCAACACGGGAAAACUUACCCGGCCCGGACACUGGAAGGAUUGACAGAUUAAGAGCUCUUUCUUGAUUCAGUGGGUGGUGGUGCAUGGCCGUUCUUAGUUGGUGGAGCGAUUUGUCUGGUUAAUUCCGAUAACGAACGAGACUCUAGCCUACUAAAUAGGCGUUCCGAUCCAUUGAGUCGGACGUUCUUCUUAGAGGGACAAGCGGCGUUUAGCCGCACGAGACAGAGCAAUAACAGGUCUGUGAUGCCCUUAGAUGUCCGGGGCCGCACGCGCGCUACACUGAAGGAAUCAGCGUGUGCUUUCCCUGUCCGGUAGGACUGGGUAACCCGAUGAACCUCCUUCGUGAUAGGGAUAGGGGCUUGUAAUUGUUCCCCUUGAACGAGGAAUUCCCAGUAAGCACGAGUCAUAAGCUCGUGUUGAUUACGUCCCUGCCCUUUGUACACACCGCCCGUCGCUACUACCGAU
RNAcentral lists this ribosomal RNA (655 nucleotides) under Loxosceles rufescens. RNAcentral describes it as "SSU rRNA". It matches the Rfam family "Eukaryotic small subunit ribosomal RNA", at positions 1011 to 1689 of the family's 1831-position model. The record is from RNAcentral. Lineage: Eukaryota; Metazoa; Arthropoda; Arachnida; Araneae; Sicariidae.